Molecule: ribosomal RNA, 373 nt
Filed under: uncultured organism
Description: partial 16S ribosomal RNA
Rfam family: Bacterial small subunit ribosomal RNA
Source: RNAcentral
GUAGGUGGCAAGCGUUGUCCGGAAUUAUUGGGCGUAAAGCGCGCGCAGGCGGUUCUUUAAGUCUGAUGUGAAAGCCCACGGCUCAACCGUGGAGGGUCAUUGGAAACUGGAGAACUUGAGUACAGAAGAGGAAAGCGGAAUUCCACGUGUAGCGGUGAAAUGCGUAGAGAUGUGGAGGAACACCAGUGGCGAAGGCGGCUUUCUGGUCUGUAACUGACGCUGAGGCGCGAAAGCGUGGGGAGCAAACAGGGAUUAGAUACCCUGGUAGUCCACGCCGUAAACGAUGAGUGCUAAGUGUUAGGGGGUUUUCGCCCCCUUAGUGCUGCAGCUAACGCAUUAAGCACUCCGCCUGGGGAGUACGGCCGCAAGGCUA